UCCCCAGCUUGCUUUUGGGCCAUGUGUUUCAUCACAGCAAUAGAAACCUGACUAAGACUGUGUGGAAAUAGAUGGGCUGGGUGCUGCAUUGCCGUCUCUGUCAACAUUAUGUGGGACUACACAUGACUUCUGUAACCAUAAAAUAAGUUGUUUAAAAAUAAAAGUGCUGGACAAUA
Long non-coding RNA from Mesocricetus auratus (golden hamster), 176 nucleotides. RefSeq lists it as uncharacterized. Lineage: Eukaryota; Metazoa; Chordata; Mammalia; Rodentia; Cricetidae. The transcript has 2 exons. The record is from RefSeq and is a predicted model, not a curated record.